CAAGGAUCUUGGUAGUUUGUUUGGCCCUCGCGGUCGUUGUGUGCGUCCAUGCCGCCCCAGGUUAUAAUAAAGGAAACAAUGGUGGCAGUUCACACAGUGGGGGUGGAGGUGGACUAGGUGGAGGUGCUGGCGGUGGUCAUGGUGGUGGAGGUGGAAUCGGUGGUGGCGGUGGUUUAGGCCACGGUAACGGCGGUGGAGGUGGAUUUGGAGGUGGAUUUGGAGGUGGAAAGGGAAGUGGCGGUGGAUUUGGAUUCGGUGGUGGCGGCGGUGGUUCUGGCGGUGGUCUUGGCGUGGGUGGCGGCGGUGGUGGCGGUGGCGCCGGAGGCCAUAAACAAAAAGGAGGAUACGGACGUUAAAUUUGACUAGAAAAUGGGAAAUUCCUUGGAAGUUCAACAAUACAAAUACAGCAAGCUCAUUGUGAUUUAAAAGUAUAGCAUUGUUUACAUAAAUCUUAGAUCGAAAGA
Long non-coding RNA from Vanessa atalanta (red admiral), 464 nucleotides. RefSeq lists it as uncharacterized. Lineage: Eukaryota; Metazoa; Arthropoda; Insecta; Lepidoptera; Nymphalidae. The record is from RefSeq and is a predicted model, not a curated record. The transcript has 4 exons.